This 407-nucleotide ribosomal RNA is filed under the name uncultured bacterium. Its description in RNAcentral is "partial 16S ribosomal RNA". It matches the Rfam family "Bacterial small subunit ribosomal RNA", at positions 30 to 526 of the family's 1533-position model. The record is from RNAcentral.
AUUGAACGCUAGUGGGAUGCCUUACACAUGCAAGUCGAACGGAGUGGCGAACGGGUGAGUAAUGUAUCGGAAUGUGCCCAGUAGCGGGGGAUAACUACGCGAAAGCGUAGCUAAUACCGCAUACUAUUGGAGCGGCUGAUAUCGGAUGCGCUAGAUGGUGGGGUAACGGCUCACCAAGGCUACGAUCCGUAGCUGGUUUGAGAGGACGACCAGCCACACUGGGAAGGAGACACGGCCCAGACUCCUACGGGAGGCAGCAGUGGGGAAUUUUGGACAAUGGGGGAAACCCUGAUCCAGCCAUCCCGCGUGUGCGAUGAAGGCCUUCGGGUUGUAAAGCACUUUUGGCAGGAAAGCGGUACCAACAGAAUAAGCACCGGCUAACUUCGUGCCAGCAGCCGCGGUAAUAC